Molecule: ribosomal RNA, 433 nt
Filed under: uncultured bacterium
Lineage: Bacteria
Description: partial 16S ribosomal RNA
Rfam family: Bacterial small subunit ribosomal RNA
Source: RNAcentral
AACGAACGCUGGCGGCAUGCCUAACACAUGCAAGUCGAACGAGACCUUCGGGUCUAGUGGCGCACGGGUGCGUAACGCGUGGGAACCUGCCCUUAGGUUCGGAAUAACUCCCCGAAAGGGGUGCUAAUACCGGAUAAUGUCUUCGGACCAAAGAUUUAUCGCCUUUGGAUGGGCCCGCGUUGGAUUAGCUAGUUGGUAGGGUAAAAGCCUACCAAGGCGACGAUCCAUAGCUGGUCUGAGAGGAUGAUCAGCCACACUGGGACUGAGACACGGCCCAGACUCCUACGGGAGGCAGCAGUGGGGAAUAUUGGAAAAUGGGCGAAAGCAUGAUCCAGCAAUGCCGCGUGAGUGAUGAAGGCCUUAGGGUUGUAAAGCUCUUUUACCCGGGAUGAUAAUGACAGUACCGGGAGAAUAAGCCCCGGCUAACUCCGUG